CCUUUGUACACACCGCCCGUCGCUACUACCGAUUGAAUGGCUUAGUGAGGCGCUCGGACUGGCCCCGGGAGGUUGGCAACGACCACCCAGGGCCGGAAAGUCCGUCAAACUUGGUCAUUUAGAGG
This 125-nucleotide ribosomal RNA is filed under the name Dothideomycetidae sp. RNAcentral's name for it is "partial small subunit ribosomal RNA". It matches the Rfam family "Eukaryotic small subunit ribosomal RNA", at positions 1657 to 1779 of the family's 1831-position model. Lineage: Eukaryota; Fungi; Ascomycota; Dothideomycetes. The record is from RNAcentral.